This 69-nucleotide small RNA is filed under the name Lactobacillus equicursoris. Lineage: Bacteria; Bacillati; Bacillota; Bacilli; Lactobacillales; Lactobacillaceae. The record is from RNAcentral.
UCUGCAACCGCACAGAUGAGGUUGAGAAGUCUGCUUUGGCAGCACCUCUAAUGGCGAGUCUAAGUAUUU